GAUGAACGCUGGCGGCGUGCUUAACACAUGCAAGUCGAACGAUGAAGCCCAGCUUGCUGGGUGGAUUAGUGGCGAACGGGUGAGUAACACGUGAGUAACCUGCCCUUAACUCUGGGAUAAGCCUGGGAAACUGGGUCUAAUACCGGAUAGGAGCGUCCACCGCAUGGUGGGUGUUGGAAAGAUUUAUCGGUUUUGGAUGGACUCGCGGCCUAUCAGCUUGUUGGUGAGGUAAUGGCUCACCAAGGCGACGACGGGUAGCCGGCCUGAGAGGGUGACCGGCCACACUGGGACUGAGACACGGCCCAGACUCCUACGGGAGGCAGCAGUGGGGAAUAUUGCACAAUGGGCGCAAGCCUGAUGCAGCUACGCCGCGUGAGGGAUGACGGCCUUCGGGUUGUAAACCUCUUUCAGUAGGGAAGAAGCGAAAGUGACGGUACCUGCAGAAGAAGCACCGGCUAACUACGUG
Molecule: ribosomal RNA, 466 nt
Filed under: uncultured bacterium
Lineage: Bacteria
Description: partial 16S ribosomal RNA
Rfam family: Bacterial small subunit ribosomal RNA
Source: RNAcentral